RNAcentral lists this long non-coding RNA (13743 nucleotides) under Hordeum vulgare. RNAcentral describes it as "long non-coding RNA (HVUL_LNC017707)". The record is from RNAcentral. Lineage: Eukaryota; Viridiplantae; Streptophyta; Magnoliopsida; Poales; Poaceae.
GCCGGCGCGCCACCUCGCUCGCAAUCAGCGGCACCAGGCCAUUUACAUACUUUCAACAAGUUCAAAGAAACACCAAAGCUCAUGGAACAACAUGCAGGUAACCAAAGCAAGUCAAACUUAGAGAACAUCUUUCCUACUACUAUUAAACAAGCAAACAUAUUCAUCACUAAAUGCACCAAACCUAAUCUAGUACACAUAAAGACCUUGACCAAUUACAACCUCAAGAUCAGGCUAUUAGAUCUAACCAUCAGAUUAAAACUAACCCUCAUAAAAAGUGUGUUUAGCAAUUUCAACUGGUGGACGAAAACACUGCCACCGAACAUAAAGUUCCGCCCCAGUGUCCACAUGUCCCAUCAAAAGAACUGAACGCAAAAGAAAUCUCACGCCGGCACUCCACACCGCCGUCGUUUGCUCAAGUUAUCUGCUUGCGCCGCGGCCGUGCUUGCUGCCUCCUCCACGCGUGGCCGUGCCUAGGACACUUAACCGAGGUUUGGUGAGCGGAGAGAUCCAAGGCAAAGGAGCCGCCGCCGUGCAGGAAGCUCUCCUCCAUCCGGCUCACUAGAGGCGUUGCCAAACCGCGCGGCUUCGGUGAUGGCCACCUCUGCAUCCCAACGGUGACGGCCUCUUCUAGGCGGCUACACCCCCCUGACAAAAUUGACAAAAAUAAUUCCUAGAACGAAAGAAGUCACGAAGUGCACCUGAAAGCAAAAAAAAAUAUCCGUCUGACCCUUUCGUGUGGCGUCCGACACCUAGACGUCACAGUACACUCUGUAACGGCUAAAUCAUCGGCGCCACACGGCCCGGCCACCUGACAGAGCGAGCUCACCCUCCAGGUAGUGCGACGCCUAAGCCUGAGACGUCGCACCCUAUAAAGUGUGGCGUCGAAGGCUUAGGCUCCGCUGACCAUGUGGGCUCCUUGAAUGCUGCCUAUGGCGCGUCCCGCCUUCCGGCUGAGGAGAAUGCGGAGAUGCCGAAGAGCACCUUCAUCCCUUCGAAUGGCUACCAGCGGCAGCAACGACAAGCGUCGCGCGCCUGACAAACCCAAGACAUUGGCUCGGUGAGAUCAAAUCCCAACUUCUCCCUUGCCACCCAACCUGCAGUGCUAUGAUAACCCGAUUCAUUUCGAUUACCGUCGUUCGACAAUUUGUUGGUGUCCAUCAGUGCGCGUUCAUGGGCUUCGCGUGAAACCGGGGGAGCAAAAGGGCGGCGGCUUGCAUGAGAGGACUACAGGUUCAAGGCGGAGCAUUAGGUAUACCACCAAAGCAUGUUAAAGAUCGAGCUCGAGGUGUACAACUAGAGCAUGUUCUAGAAGGAGCUGUACAACAAUUGGGUGGACACUGGGUCGUGCUAUCAAACCAUCAUAGUGUAUUGGACUGGUCCGUUUCAUAGGGAACACGUCUUCUCAUCUUCCGUGCUUUCAAUUUGAGAAUCGUAUCUCUCUUAGCUACAAAUUAGACUUCCGCUAAAAACUAUCCAAACUACAAAAGACUAAAUGUUGUUGCUCCUGCAGAUGCUCUUGACAAGUACCAUUAUACUCCCUCCGUACCUAAAUAUAAGUCUUUUAAGAUAUUUCGCUAGGUGUCUACGUACGGAGCAAAAUGAGUGAAUCUAUACUCUUAAGUAUGUCUAUAUACAUCGGUAUGUAGUUCACUAGUGAAACCUCUAGAAAGACUUAUAUUUAGGUACGGAGGGAGUACAAGCUAGUUCAAUUUCUAUCUGUCGAAGGGGAAGUUGGCAUCCGUAAUAGUUCUAUCUAGAAUGGUCUUUGGUCUCUCAAUUCAUGCCUGAGUGCAAGUCAAGUCAAGUCAAGUCAAUGCAGUACUGUGUAUAUUUUAAACCAAAUUUCAUGACGCUGACUCAUGAAUUAUCUUUGGAAGGAGUUUCAUACAGGGGCGGAUCCAGAAUUGGGCCAGGCCUGCUACAAUACACAGAAAGACAAUCAAGGUUAUGAUAUUAUAAUGCAAAAGGAAAAAAUGAAAACCAUCACAUGGUUACAAUGUUAUUUCUGAAGCUCACAUUGAACUUAUACUUGAAGUUGCCACAUAUUCAAAUAACCAUUUGUUUCUUUGGUUCUAGAGUCCCAUGUUGGGCGUGAUUUUCCUAAUGGAGCAAGAUGGGCAUAAGAUUUGUUUAGUUAAGUUGGCGUGUGCUGUGCACAUGCAUAAUUAGUAUAAUGGCUUAGAACCAGAUGCUACAAACUAAAUAUGGAUGCUGCUUUUCAUGAUAAUGGUACAGGUGCAGCUGGCAUUGUCCUGCGAAAUAGCAUUGGUGAAGCGGUUGCUGGUGCAGCUUGUCUACCUGGCUCUACUCUUGAUGCCACCUCGACAGUAGCUUUGGCAAUGUCGAAGGGGCUGGAGCUGCUCGAGAGGUUCGGGUCAUCGGGUGCAUAUUGAAUCUGACUCGCUGGAAUUGAUAAAUGCAUGCAAGGGCGAGGUUCAUAUGUUCAGUCCAUAUACUGCAACCUUGGUGGAAUGCUUUGCAAAAGCCCAGACGAUUGAUGGUAUCUCUUUUGAGUUUUGUCCCAGGGAAGCUAAUCAGGUGGCCCAUCAGCUGGCAAACACAUGCUUAUGUUAAUGAGGCAGAGUUUAGCUGGAAGGGUGAUCCAUCAUCCUUUUUAUUGCCUUAUGUUUUGCACAAAGCAAUAAAUCAUCGAGAGGCUUAAAAAAUUAUAAUGGCUUAUAGUUUUGAUAUAUGUUGUUCCAGCCGUGCAUGACACGUGCAUGCUUACUUGUCACACCCUGUAUUUUAACUCUUCUGGAUAAACUAACAUAUCUUAAAAAUUAGGACGAAUUAAAUUUUGUGUGAGUGCUUGUGAUGCUUGAUGUGAUUGUUAUUUGCUUGCUUGUUUUCUUGUGUUUAAAUCACAAAGUUCCUACUACUCUUUAGACUCAUAUUCAUGCCUAAAGUAUUUGCCCAAUGAUCAUACCAUGUGUAUAGGACCAAAAACUAUUUUUACCAAAGAGCUUUCAUUUAAUUUAAGCUUUCAAAAACCAUUGAGUCGGGAUUUGUUCUACAAGUCCUCAAACCAGGAAAGUUGUUUUGCACCCAAUAUUUUAUUUAAAUACCAUUAUCAAAAAGACUUCCCAAAACCACAAGAUUAUUACUUUAAAAGCUAUUUUACUAUUUUAUUUAAAUACAUUUUUCUGAGGCUAGAAAUGGUCUUUUAUGAAGAAAGGUUAUUUUUCCUGCAUUCAAAAUAUUUGAGUAAAUUAAGGGAAACUCAGUGGACAUAUAUUUUCCAUAUAUAAUAUUUUAAGCACAUGGUCAUGUUCAAAAUAUUGGACAAAACCCUUCAAAACCCUUUCUGCCUAUUUCAAGCUUUUGGAAUACUUCCAUCAGAAAUAUUCUCAAUAAAUCCCAGUAAAAUUCUAGCAUUUCACACAUGAUAUAUGUGAUUAUCUUGCCAAGUUUCAUCUCAAUCCAAGUUGAUUUAAUUCAGCUAAAUAUUUCAAACCCCUAUUUGUCCAUAUCCAAAUUUGAGCAACUCUACAUUGUCAAGUGUCUCCAAUUGUUCUCAAAUUUUUUGGGCAUGUUUUGAUGCUCCAAUAAUGCAUCCAUACCAAGUGGUGCAUCAAGGAGAAUAGAUGAACUUGUCCAAAACCCCUCAAAACCUUCUGUGUUUAUUUCUAGAAUUGAGAAACUUUACAUUGUGAAGUUUCUCCAAUUGAUCCCAAAGUUUUUGUGCAUGCUAUAAUACUCAAAUAAUGCCACCACACCAAGUGGUGCAUUAGUGAGAAUUAAUUUGCAUGGUUUUAUCUGCCGAAAUACAUUUCUGCCCAUUUGUACGGUGUUUCAAGUCUACAUUGGAAAAUUUCUCCAACAAAUCCCAAAUUUGGUAUUCUGUCUCAUUUUCACCUAUCAUGUGAUCCUGUUAAGUUUCAUAGCAAGUGAACUCCUUAUGCUAGCACUAUCACCCAUCAAACACCUUCUGCUCACUUAUCAAACUUGUUUAUUUGGCCCCUUCUACUAAUCUCCUUGAGCUCAAAUUUUUACCACCUUCUUCUAUCCCUCUAUCACCUUGAGUAACUUUUCCAUGGCCCUCGUCAAUUAUUGGAGGGUGACUCCAUCUCUCUACCUCUCCUUUUUACCAUGGCAGCACCUCUUUUACCCCUCAUUCAAUAUUUCUUUUCAAGCCAAAGCUCCCACAUAUUUUCAAAACACCUAUAGAGUGCUAAUGCACCAUUUUAUGCAAAGGUAUGGCGCUCAUAUGGAAAAUAUGAGCAGCCCUUCUAAAACUUGUUUUUGGCACAAAUGAAGCUUUGAACUACAAGUGCUAGCUAUUCUCACCUCCCUGACCUCAAACUUAUUACAAUUGUAGUUCUUCCAUGCCUAAGACUACUAGACAAGGUUUCAUUUCAAAUUCCUCCUAGUAAAAAUACUUUAUGCUAGCCCAAAGUUUGGUGUUGCAAACUUAAACAGAGAAGAAGCCCCACCUGCAGUGCCCCAUAUGAGACCAAACUUCUCCAUCACUCUUCUACACACAUGCCUUGCUUGCUAGACACCUUUGACUGACCAAAAUGCCACUCUGGACAUGAAUGCGCGUGGUGACCACAUCCCUGGCAUGCAGAAACGAUGAUGUGCACCUUGUCCUCAUCCUGCAACCCAUGUCUGGUAGCGGUAGCAUGUCCCACCGCGCCAUAGGAUUCCCCUUCACUGCCCAUGCCCCUCAGUGACGCCAGCAAAACUGCAAGGUGGCUCCGACGUGUGUGAUGGCCGCGCGAGAGUGUACCUGAGGCGCAUCCGAGCUCCCCCUCGUCGCCCCUCUGUUAUACCUCUCCCCAAGCCCCCUCUUAACCUCUUUGGCUCUCUCUCUCCCUCCAAUAGACCCCCAGGGCCUCCCAAUUUGAGCUCACAUGCCCUGCAAUCGCCCCAUGGCCGAAGCCUUCCUAUCGGCCCUUGCUCAAAUUCGGGCACGAUGAGCGUCCCCUUUCCCCUUUAGAUGCACCAUGGGGAUUCCCGAGCCGCCGCCCGCCUUCCCGCAUCCCCUCUUCCUCCGUAUGCAGCUGCUGCGCUCUGCCAACCAUGGUCGCCGGCCGCGUCCGCCCUGGUGAGUGACCGACUGCGAGCAACUCCUCUCCGGCGUGCGCGACGCACCCCUUCAGGUCGUCGCCCCCCCCCUGAGGUCGCCGAGAGGCUGAGCCUCUUCGCAGGUAGCACGGGCCGCCGACGCAAGCGCCACAGGCUCUCUCCUUUGUUCCUUCCUGCUCGGGCGGGAGAAGGAAGAGAGAUCUGACAGGUGGGGCCCCAUGUAAGCGGGUUGUUCCUCCCACCGGUCGGGCCCCCAACUCAAGUGGAGGCACCCUCAAGUGUUUUGCGCCUCCCCUCGCCGAAAAUGCCUUUCAAAUGGUGCGCCAUCGGCGUAGCAUCUACGCAGGCGCAACUGCGCAACUGGGCCGGCGAAGGAGGUUAUCUUGCGCCAUGUGCGCACUAUAGCUUCCCCUCGUAUAACUCUUUUUCCCUUUUCUUUUUUACAGGAACUUCCAGAAAUCAUAAUUGAUUAUUGUUAGCCCCAAAUUUAAUGAUUCAUGUUCCUUGCCUAUCCAAAUAUGUGCAUUGCACAUUUUUCAAAAGAAAUUUCCUGUAGUAUUAAUAUUCAAAUACAAAUUUGAAUAUUUAAAACCCCAUCUCGCAAAAUUCCUAGGGAGCUCAAAUCAACUCCAAAUUGAGUGAUUCCAAUUUCCAGAGACUUAUAAAAUCAUGCUCUAAUUUUCUAGCCUUAGUCAACAUUUUUCUCUGGCAUUAUGUCUGCUAGGCCAAAUAAAUAGCACAUAUUUCCACUUAUUCCAUGUUAGAAAAUCCAUAGGAAAUUCGUACCAACUCCAAAUCCAAUGAGACCACUUCCAAAAGUCUCUAAAAUCAUGCCCUAUCACAUGGAUGCAUCCACUCUAUGAGAAUAUUUUCUGUAGACUUCUUAUAGGAUCACCAAUUCCUCCUUUUCCGCCAUUCAAAUUCUUCGGUGACCAAAAUCUCUUAGAAUAAGAUUUAUGGAAUUUUCUUAUGUGAGAGAUGUCCAAGAAAAAUAAAACUCCUAUUUUUAGAGCACUUCUGUUUCUACUUGUUGUGUGGCUUGCGGUGGUUGUUUUUGACGGUAGUUGAAGAAGUAGACGAAGUACUCGGAGAUAGAUGAGAAGCAUGAGAAGACCUCGAAGACUUUUUUGAACCAGGCAAGCAGCCUUUUGACCAUGCCUAAGAAACUUUUAUUUGCAUGUCACAUAGCACCUUACUUAUGCAUAUAUUCAUGUUGGAUCGGAGACCCCCCUUGUUGGGUUGUCCCCGAAGAACACCUCGUUGAAACCUGUACUUGGGCAUGACCCUACCACCUAUGAGGGUUGUGCAUGUGGGAUGUAGUUAGUUGCUACGUAAAAAGGGAUGGGAAUAUGCACUGUGACGAUGAAGGGAGUGUUUACAUAGGCUUUUCAAAAACCCCGUCGGGUGCCACUAAUGCCCGAGGGGGGUGGUGUUGAGAUGGAUGACUACUUGAGAAAGAAGUGGUGUACCAAGAAAGAUUUCGUGUGUGUGAUUUCGGAAACGGUAUUAGAUUUAAGAUUUGUCGACCGUCCUGACCUUACAUGUGCGACCACGAUACUCCUUAUGGGACGGGGCUUUGUCGAUUACUCUGGUGGAUGCUAACACAGAGCCCGCAUUACUAGUGGCGGGAGUGACGUGGUCACUCUCGAUACUGGGUCGUGCCAGGUAGGGCGACCAUGAGAUGUUUUUACACGCACCGGGCACAUCGUUGGUCCCUGCAUGGAUGAUACGAUCUAGAGCAAGGCUCGUAUGAUGUACAUCAUGUGGAUUGUGUACCAAUCGAGUGGACUCUUUGUUUAAUGUCGCAGGGGAACGACAUUGUUCGGGUUCUUACCGCGGGUAUGUAAUAUACCACGAGUCGUGGAUGACACAGAAGUUCCCCGAGUCUGGUGGGUACAACGCGCAACCUCUCCAGAGUGUAAAACUAUUCGAAUAGUCGUGUCCACGGUCAAGGACAGUUGGGUAAUCCUGUUUAAACUACGUCCAGUUGUUUCCGCAUAAACCAUGUAUGUGGGAGGGUAUGAGAAAAAGUUUGUGAUAUGUGAAAAAUGAUGCUUGAGCUAAUAAGUCAGGUGACUUGACAUGAUGGGUGGACAUGGGAUGUUUGAUCCAAAGUUGAUAUUGAUAUAUGUAACAUGUUCAUUGGGUUACCGCUAUGCAUUGUGAUGCAUGUCCCCCAAAAAUUUGAUCAUGUUGUUGCACUAGGAAAAUCUACUUUCCGUAAAAACAACAUACUAGUAUAUUCAAAGUACUUAUUGGCUUGCCACUCGUUAUUUCAUUGACCAGAUAAGAGAGAACAGGAGAUGGUGAAGAGUACCUUGGUGACUUUCCUACGAGCUAGGACGCUUCCCAGUCAGAAUGCAUGUAGGGUUAAGGCAGAUGGCGUGGGUUCGCGCUAUCCUUGAGGAUUUUCGUUGCAAUGUAUAUGAAGACUUGGCCAUAAUGGCCAUAUCCGCGCUAAACGAUAUAUAUGGAUGUAAGACUCUCGUUAUUCCGUUUCUGUGUGUUUAAUGAGCCUUGAUCUCUGGGGUUACUGUACACGUGCAUUCGAUGAUCUCGACCUAUAUAUCGGGGUCCCUACAUUACUAGUCAAAGAAAAACACUCCAAUGUAUCGAGCCUGAAAUGGCAUGCACAUAUGUGCCUUCGCAUCGACACGUCACGACAUCUUCUUAGCUGACAGAUCAACAAGAACUGAACGGCUGAGAUCGCCGUGUUGACGGGACCAAGUUCAAAUUGGACGGCCCACUACUAUCGGAGUCGGAGAUGGUCUCCGAUUCCUCACGCAACACACACGGCCUGACGCAAUACUUCCUCUGUUCUUAAAUAUAAGAUGUAUUAGUUAAAAAAAAUAAAACCUUGUUUAUGUUCGACCAACUUUAUAGCAAAAUAUAUAAUGAUUUACAAUACGGAAUAUAUAAAAUAUAAAAAUAUAUUUCAUAAUGAAUCUAGCAAUAAUGAUUUGGUAUUCUAGACCUUGAUACUUUUCUCUACAAACUUGGUCAAAAUUAGACAAAUUUAACUUUUCGAAAAAAAUAGCAAACCAACAUGUGGUUGGAUGGUUAGGAGGACUCUGGUAUCCCCUGUCCACCAGAGUUCAAGUCCCAGACUUGGCGUUGGUGCUUGCAUUUUUCUGAAUUUAUUUCAGGUCUUUCGGCGAUGUGCUUUUAGUGGGAGGAGACGUUUCCAUCGACAACGAAGGCGUCGACGACUUCAUCAAUCUCAAAAUGAUAUGCCGGCUUAGUCUUUCAAAUGUGCUCAUAGGGAUAGGGUGUGCGUGCGUUCAUAGGAGUGAGUGUAUGUGAGCGACUUUGAUUGUACUCUGCUUAAAAUAUAAAAAUGAACUUUUUGAAAAAAUAAUACACUUUGUAUCUAGGAACAUAGGGUAGGACGGCCUCGUCUUCACGUGCCAAAACAAACCAGUCGAUCGGCAUGGCUCGUGUGUCGAUGUGGACGUUCGUUGUUCUCGUCGCGCGGGCAUUGCUUCUCGCGAUGCCGGCUGGUUCCGCUGUUGCGCCCACGAAAGGCGACGCCCGCGGCGGCAACACGGACCCCGUGAUCAGCAUUGACCUCGGCACGACCUACUCGCGCGUCGGCGUCUACCAAAACGGCCGCGUCGAGAUCAUCACCAAUGACUAGGGCAACCGGAUUACCCCUUCCUAGGUAGCCUUCGCCGACAGCGGCGAGCGGCUCAUCGGCGAGGUCGCCAAGAACCAGGCGGCUGCCAACCCUGAGCGCACCAUCUACGACGCCAAGCGCCUCAUCGGCCGGGAGUUCGCCGACGACGUCGUGCAGCGGGACGUCAAGCUGCUGCCCUACCCCGUCGCCGACCGCAAGGGCAAGCCGCACAUCCAGGUGCAGGUGGAGGACGGCGACGUGCGCGUGUUCAGCCCCGAGGAGAUCAGCGGCAUGGUGCUCUCCAAGUUGAAGGAGACCGCCGAAGCCUACCUCGGCGAGAAGGUCACGCGCGCCGUACGUGGUCACCGUGCCGGCCUACUUGAACGACGCGCAGCACCAGGCCACCAAGGAUGCCGGCGUUCGCCAGGCUUGACGUCAGGUGCCGGUGACCUUUUCUGGAAGACGAUGGUGCCGGUGAAGAAGGCCGUGGCAGGCGCCAGGCUGACAAGGUCGUGCUUGUCGGUGGCAGAACCAGGAUCCCCAAGGUGCAGCAGCUCCUCAAGGACUACUUCAACGGCAAGAGGCUGUCGCCUAUGGUGCCGUCGUGCAGGCCAGUACCUGGUUAGUGUGUUGCAAACUCGCCGCCAUUCUUCUCUCUCGCAAGGCGGGUGAUUGUCGGCGCUGGCGCGGAAGCAUCGGGUGCCGUGCGUCUCUCGUUCACGCUGUGGGGAUCUAGAUGUCACUGCCUCACCUUCGUCUUACUUGGGUCUGCAAUAUACGAGUUGUUGCGGUGGUAAAAUUGUAACAAUGGGCCAGUUGCAAAACUAGCGAUGGUGGCUCAUGGGACACAGGAAGGUGGCAGAAGCGGGAGCUGCGAUCUGUCGAGUGAUUACAAGCAUUUCCUUUUUCUAUCAUUGAGCAUGUCACUUCGUACAGCUCUGGGCCUUAAACUCGAAUCAGCAGAGGCACACAGACUGCCUUUCCUUUCCAUGGCCUCGGGACUCCGCCCAGAAAAUGGAAAUCAGGUGGAUUCUUUUUUUCCUGUGAAACUGAGGCUUCUGGAGCCUUUUCUCUAGAAUCUCUCACUGCCAAUCGUGCAAAGCAAACACACUUUUGUGAAACUUUCCUCCGACUCUGGAUUCCUAUAGUUUUCCUGCAAAAUUCCUACGUACCGAACAAAUGUAUGUACUUCCCAUUUUUAGUGUACACACUUCUCAUUGUUGUGUGACUACUUCUCAGUCACACGUAACAUGCACACACUGUCGUAUGGCCAACCCCAUAUAGCUAAUGCUAGCAAAUAACUUGCAUUCAGCUCAACUUUUAUCUCUCAGUCUUUCUGCGCACGAAGAGGAGUUGGGCACCAAAAACUACAGUUUCUCCUAGGUAUAUCUUCGAAGAAGAGCCAGUCCAAGAAGUGGUGUCCUUAGGUAAUUAGCCAAGAAGGAUUCCUCAAGUUCAAGCUUGGCGACAGUCUUUAAUACUCCAUCCGUUCAAAAUAAGUGACCCAAGUUCAAGCUUCACGAUAGUCUUUAAUACUCCAUCUGUCCAAAAUAAGUGACACAACGGAGUAUUGAGCAUCAAUGUCAAAUUUAAUGUUUGGAUGUUAUGUAUUUGAAAGUUGGAAUCCAAUCGAAGCCACCAAUAUCAAUUCCUGUUUGGAUGGCAAAAGUGUUCAAUUGCAAAUGUCAACCCCUUUUCAUCUUCCUCCUGAUUCCACAUCAGCCGAUGGGGCUCUUCUCGUGGUGGAGGGUCUUCCGCCUUGGCUCACCGGAGCGGGCCCUGAACUAGGAGCCGGCGAAGGACACGAGGGCGUGACCUAGGUGGUAGCCGCGCCAUGGCUCGCCGGAGCAUUCCUGAAGGAGCACCCAACGAAGGAAGCGGGGGAGGCGGGAAGAACCAGGUGGUCGCCGUUGCACGCGAGAGAGCAGCGGAUGUUGCUGUUGUGCAUGAGGCGCUCAGCCAUGGCGCGGGGUUGUGGAUGGAGUCAUGGAAUGGGGGGAGUCGCUGUAGCGGGGGUUGCAAGGAUGGAGUCGUAGGCAGAAGUGCUAGCGAAUACCAGCGAAAACCCAGGUCGAGGGCUCCGAAUUGGUCGAGGGGAAGUGUACACCAGAAAAGAGCGAUUCGAUAUUGAGCGUCGACUCCACGAGAGAAUGUUGUGCGCAACCAAAUGACGAUAUUCGGGCUGCCGAAUGCCAAUAUCUAAAACUAGCCCCCAAUAUCAACAUCCGAACGGGCGUGGAGGAUUGAUUCGUACUUGCGACCUUGAGCUGCUGAACACCUGCCGCUGGUUACUAAAAGCAUCACGUGUUAUGGCUUUAAUGUGAGGCUCGGGCAAUUCAACUACACAACGCAGCUUUGAUAUUCUAAGAUAUUUAUUAAUGUCACACAAAUAUUAAAAUCGUGCAGGCCCAAACAAUUUUUAUAAACUCGUAAUUUUUAUAAAGUGUGGCCACUUUUUGGAAAUAAUAAUAUGUUUUUAACACAAACAUUUUUUCUGAAAACACAAUCAAUGUUGGAAAAGAAAACACUAUUUUUUCAAAAAUGGGAACAAUUAUUGAAACCUGAAAAAAUAAAUUAAGCAGUGUAAAAAUAUUUGGUAUUUGGUAAAAUUUUUGCGUUUAACAAUAUAUAUUUGGUAUUUCAAUUUUUUUCCAAUUUUUUUCAAGAAAUGUUUUGUCAGUUUUAAAAAAUGUUUUCAUAUAUGAAUGCUCCUUUUGUUCUUAUAUACCACGUGAGAUAUAAUCACUAGCAGCCUAUAGGACGAUUCGGAAGGUGCGGGCACUAUGGGAAGUGAGGUGCCGAGUUCGAGCACUUUCAAGCUCAUUGUUGCUUCAACUGUUUUUGUUGCUCUUCCUAAUAGAAGACAAGUGGGUUCAUGCAGCUUUUAAAAAUGUUUACUGUCACUAUGAAAACAUAAGAUAAUAUCAUUACCAAAAUGUAAAACAAACAAAAUAAAAAGUGAAAAUAAAAACAGCGCUAGCGACUGACUUAAAAUGGACCGGCCUGAUUCAUCCUAAUGUCAGCCAAUGACAGUCUACAAUCCUUGCCAUAAUUUCCGGGAUUACAAGUUUGAAGUUUAGUUUAGUUUUCUUCUAUAAUUUAAGGGAAAUGAUUUUCCUCAGCCGGCUGAUCAUUACCUUGCAUCCAUGACCUUCCGUGCUAGGCACGUGUCCCACAGGGUUUACAUGCAUUGGAUCGGUUGAGCACUCCGCUGCGGUAAGUUUUUGCAACAAGACAUUUGUUGUAAAAAAGAAAAAACUGCAACCAGGCUUGUGUUAAGAAAAACUUAAAAAUUUCUGCAACAUGACAUUUAUUGUAAAAAAUGCAACAUGACCUCACUCACAAACAUUUUUGCAACAAGAUAUCUGUUGAAAAAAACUGCAAGAAGAGUUGUUUUGAAAUAAUGAAGCGCUACUUGGCCAUUCGAGGCGCCAAAUUGGUCAACUCGCGACACGGCCGAUCUUUUAAAAGGAUCGGCCGAUGGACACGCAACACACCCAUUUUCUUUCUCGACCCAACCAUGGUGUCCAACAGGUCUUUCUGUAACACGAUCUUUGCUAAAGAAAAUCCUCUACAACAAACUCCAUUGCAAACAAAAAUAUACUAGUGUUUUCAUAACAUGAUCUGUGUUGUAGAAAAUAUUAUAUAACAAACUUUCUUACAGAAAAAAUUAUACAACUGUUUUCGCAACACGGUCUUUGUUGCAGAACAUAAUCUAUAACAAACUUUAUUGCAAAAUAAUUACAGAUGUUUGUGCAACACAAUGUGCGUUGUAAAAAAUAUUCUAUAACAAAUCCGAUUGCAGAAAAAAUUAUAAAAGUAUUUCCGCAACACAAUCUUUAUUACAGAAAAUAUUCUAUAACAAACUCUGUUGCAAAACAUUAUACAGGUGUUUCCAAAACAUGAUCUUUUGUUGCAAAAAAUAUUCUAUAACAAUCUCUGUUGCAAAGAAAGUCUACAAAAUAUUUCCGCAACAAGAUCUUUGUUACAGAAAAUUCUGCAACAUAAUCUAUGUUGUAUAAGUUAAUAUGCCCGUCAGCUAUUUGAUGACUACACCUCUAGUCGAAAGCGACCCGGCCGAUCUUUUAAAAAGAUCGAUCGGCGGAUGCAUAGGUUUGUUUUGGACUUUUUCCGAAAUGCUGGUCCGAAGAUCAAUUCGGCAGCCUUGGUCUGGCAUCUGGUUGGACCAAUCGGCAUCGGCGCAUCUGGUUGCCGACUUGUAUAUUUGCCGACUUGUAGUGAUGCAAACGUACGACUGUUUGGAUUUAUUCAAACGUGUGUUUUGAAUCCUGUAGGGAUACAGCUAUUUCCCGUGAAGUUUCUGAAAACCAUGUAGCAAACGGACAGUAUUGCUUGCAUUGCAUGCAGAGCCCGCCGGACUGACAAGUUGAAAUGGUGUCGGCGCCACCGCACUACUGGCGCCUGGCGCUCCCACGUCGCCAUUCGUCGUCCUGGAAACAUCUCAUCCAAUUUGUUCCACCAACCGCGUCGCCAUCGGUCCGCCGUGACGGGCCAGUGCUGUCUGCCGUGCCACGACCGCCACCUACUCCGACCCACACAAACGUCCCCAGGUUUUAAAGCGCGAGCGAGCCCUCUCCGUCCUUCCCUCCCACCGCCGGCNNNNNNNNNNNNNNNNNNNNNNNNNNNNNNNNNNNNNNNNNNNNNNNNNNNNNNNNNNNNNNNNNNNNNNNNNNNNNNNNNNNNNNNNNNNNNNNNNNNNNNNNNNNNNNNNNNNNNNNNNNNNNNNNNNNNNNNNNNNNNNNNNNNCCCUCCCACCGCCGGCCGCCGCGACAGCGCGGGCUCCCCUCCCGGCCGGCCGCAUGGAGCCGCCGGCGCCUCCGCCCCCGCCCCCGCCGCAGCUGCACCUGCGCGUCCUGGACACCGUCAGGCUCUCCCCGGCGCGGCGGCCUCCGGCGUCGUCCCUGCCGCUCUCCGGCCUCGACGCCGACCGCAACGUGCUCGACGUCUCCUUCCGCACCGUCCGCUUCUUCCCUGCCCACCCGGUCUCCCUCGACCCGCUCGACGCCCUCCAGGCCGCGUUCGCCCACGCGCUCGGCCUCUUCCCGCAGCUCGCCGGCUCCGUCGUCCGGGAAGNNNNN